RNAcentral lists this long non-coding RNA (403 nucleotides) under Felis catus (domestic cat). RNAcentral's name for it is "lncRNA (ENSFCAG00000053690.1)". Lineage: Eukaryota; Metazoa; Chordata; Mammalia; Carnivora; Felidae. The record is from RNAcentral.
CAAAAGAGAAACAAAAUGUUUUGACUGAAACACAAGGAGUACUAGAAGUUAUGCUGGUUAAAUACCUAUCAGCUGGAUAAUUGAGUUCAAUGGUCCUUAAAUUCUUACUUCAGAGAAGUGUGACAGGCAUUCUUCCAGAUACUUGAAAACCAGCUAGCAGUUUGCUGGAGUCUAUAAAACCACACCACAGGCUUUUGUACAUGCAAAGGAAAAAAGGAAUGCCAUAUAUGAUUCUCUUUUCUCCAGUGCUGCUGACCACUUGAGGGUAAGUGAGAAUGAAUGGGUUAUUUUUGUAGUUCAGAGACUCUCAUCUUCUUCCUGGUGGCUGAAGAAGUGUUGCCAUUUUAAGUUUCCCAAGAAGUUAGUCAUCCUCACUCUCGAAUGAUGAUUGCUAACAUUCACU